This is a long non-coding RNA of Amphiprion ocellaris (clown anemonefish), 1936 nucleotides long. The record is from Ensembl. Lineage: Eukaryota; Metazoa; Chordata; Actinopteri; Pomacentridae.
AUGUUCAGAGGGAGAUGAUGCCACAUCUGGUCCAGCUGAUGGAAGGUCUUGAAGUUCUCUGACUGGCCUCGACUGAAGAUGGUCGUCUCACUGGAUUUAAGGUUCAGAUGCUCAGUAACAAACUCCACCAAUGAGCCAACAGGGAAGCUUUAGGUUUAUUAAAUGUUGCUAUGAAGGUAUCGCUGUUUUUCUUUGUGAAUGCAAUGUGCUCCAACUGAAACUUGAAUUAGAACUUAGAAGUAAAUCCUUCCAUCUGAAAGGAUUUAGUUGCAUUAAUAACCUCAUAACAUUCUAAUUUUUAUUCCAGUCUUGGCUGGAAAUAGAAUCUCUGUAUUGAUUCAGGUAAAAACUGAACUUCACAGCAUGUUGGAGCAAAACAACCAGAUGAAAACUGUGAUGGUGUUGGAUUGUCAGACUGUAAUGUUGCAGCUCAAAGCAGCUUUUCUAUCUCAGUUCAUUCUGACAUUCAGCUAUGAAUCAACACAGCAGAUGGUGAUCCAUGCUGUGGAAGUCUCACAUCUCCUGAUUUAAUGGAGCUGCUUUGCACUUUUUACACUGUUUAUUCACCAACACUUUAUUUAAUAAAAGUCCCAUCUAGUUUUUAUGAGGAAUGUGAUGUUUUAAUUUCUCUGUGAAUAACUGCAGUCUAAUGCAACAGCUGGAGUUGUAACAUCUGUCCUGAUAUUGAUCAUGAAGUAUUGAUCAGAAUACUUAUGGUCAGCAGUCAUCCCUGAAGUUUUACAUUAAAAUCUUUACUUGUGUUGUGAACUUUGGUAAGAAGCAGAAACUUUAGCGUUGCCAUGGAUACAUGAGUGUUAAAUUCUGUCCAUGUUUCCAUUUUGGGAAAUGCAGUCCAGUUCCAGAAUGUGGAGGAAUUUAGUCUCACAAUCACAGACAACAAAUAUUAUCUGAAAGUCGGGUUAUUGUUGUUUAUCAGCACAAUACAAAAAGAUUAAUGUUAGAAAUAUUCCAGUUAAGACUCUAGAAUAUCAUGAUUUAUGUAAAUUUACCUCAAUAAUAUGAAUGUUCAGGUUAAGAUUGUACAGUGAUAUUUAUUAUGCAAGUUUAGCUGAUUAAAGUUUAUGACUCUGCACUAAAAUAUUAUUUAAAUUGACAUCAUUAUUAUAAUAUUCAGGGUCAGACCCUACAGUAUUGAGAUUAAGAAAUCAAAUAUUCUAUAAAAUGUAAAUACACUGAACUCAUUUGGAUAUAUUUAAGUGAGACUCUACAAUAUUAUUUGACACAAAUCUAUCUAAAUCAAAAUUUUAAUAAUUUUCACGCCAAACAUUUACUGGACUGAUUUAAAUAUUAAAAUCACUCCUUUCUAAUCCUCUGCUGUACAUUCAAACCUGAGGCCUUAAAUAGAAACACACAAGUAUCUGAUUGAAGGAACUUCUGUAGAGUCCUGGUUCCAGAACAUGAUGAUAGAAUUAUAGACAAACUUCAACAAAAGCUGCCUGAGAGUUUACAGGUUUUUAUGUUGGAUUUCUUCAGUAAUUUAAUGAGCGUUAUCAGCAAUAAUCAAGUGUUCAUUUGAUGAACUUCAUUUCCUAAAACAUCCAGAAUUGGAGCUCAUAUCUUUGGCAGCUGUAAAGUUUCUGCUCCUUCAAAGUUCACAACACAAUGAAUGAAUUCCUAAAACACUCUCAAUGCUGGAGAGCGUUUGUGAUGCUGAAGCAGUGACCAGUUUUUCUGUUUCUUCUCUGGAGAUGCACAAUGAGGGACGUCUGCAGAGACUGAGAAAGAGUCUCACCACAUCCUGACAUGAGGAAAAAGACUUUAUUGAAGACUACAAUGAGAAAAACUAUCAGACAGCAGACGGCUGCAUUCAAGUCUGUAGCUGCUGAAUUCAUGGAUGAAUCAUCUGGCACUAGAGAGGAAGACCAUCAAACAUCCAUGUCAGCUGAUGGAGGUCCAAGAGUCUCACCAAACAAAC